UAAAAAAAAGCCCUGCAAAAAUAUGCAGGGUCCUUCUAUGUCUAACUAAGGACCAGAAGGCAAAGGGAGAGGAGAAACCGGAGGAAGAACUUAUGGGGAAACGUAAGCCUUCUCCGCGG
Bacillus sp. FJAT-22058 is the source of this 119-nucleotide non-coding RNA. NCBI's taxonomy places the organism in Bacteria, Bacillati, Bacillota, Bacilli, Caryophanales, Bacillaceae. The record is from Rfam.